This 208-nucleotide long non-coding RNA is filed under the name Nicotiana benthamiana. RNAcentral describes it as "long non-coding RNA (NBEN_LNC025012)". The record is from RNAcentral. Lineage: Eukaryota; Viridiplantae; Streptophyta; Magnoliopsida; Solanales; Solanaceae.
GUUAGGGAUAUAGUAGAUAUGCCCUAGAUCUAAUAUCAUAUUUGAUAACUUGAAUAUAUUUUUGUGAAUGUCAUUUGAUAUAAAAUAUAUGGCAUUUGAUAUUAUUUUGUCAUUAUUAUCAAUUGUUUGAUUAUUUUGAUAAGGUCCUUGAUUAAAUUUUGAGAUUUGUCAUCGUGAUAGAGAUCAUGAUAAUGAGAGCAAAGUCUUU